Molecule: RNA transcript, 640 nt
Organism: Rhipicephalus sanguineus (brown dog tick)
Lineage: Eukaryota; Metazoa; Arthropoda; Arachnida; Ixodida; Ixodidae
Exons: 3
Source: RefSeq, a predicted model, not a curated record
GGGUCUUCACUGGAUACAUUAUCUACGCUGAACUGAGACUGUUUGGAGAAAAGGCUUACGCGAUGAAGACGCUGCUUGCAACGUUGAUCGUGGCGUUGGCUUUCGUGGCUGUGUGCCAAGCGGGCCACCACUACGGAGGUCACGGAUACACGUUCAGCCACGGGCACACUAACUACUUCGACGACCAGCGCACGCAUCACGGCUACGGAGGCGGAUACGGAGGUGGAGGAGGUGGUGGAGGCGGAGGAGGCGGAUACGGGGGUGGAUACGGCCACGGCCACUAUGGCUAAAUCACGGAGCCGCAAAAACCUGUACAUACGACGCAGACAAAGUACUAUAUGCCGCACAGAGUUGAGAGAAGUGGAACCGUGGACUCUCGAAGGUUUUCCUUGGGACAAAUCAAGCAUGCGAUGUCAUCUACGGAAACAGCAGAAUUAUGGGGCUGCAUAACAAGCAGAUGCAACAGUGAAUAUUUAUAUGCCUCUGAAGGAAGCUCAAGGCUUUACGAAACACCGACAUAAAACGGGAAAGAAGCAUGCCCAAACCAACAACAGCUUUCUUUCGCCUAGCUGUCGGUGAUUCCAACGGUUCCUAGUUGUUUUGUAUUAUAUUUUAUGGAUGUGUUGAUCGCCAAAAUUUC